CAUCUCUGUUUGUCCAACCAAGUUUUAGCACUGAACUUGAGACAGAGACUUUGGAUUCUACAGAUUCUUGCUACCGAAAUUACAUACGCAUAAUGUCUCCUGAGGUGUAUAUAUCUGAUGAAGAUGAUGAUCUGCAAGAAGCCAUAAACAGAUCUCUUCUAGAAUCAAACACAUUUUAAGCUGAUGAAAACACAUCUUUGGAAGCCAUUUUGCAUUCACUUUCUAAAAGCUUGAACCGGGAGGAAGUUGUUCGCAUCCGUACAGUGCGUAAAAAUGUUUGGGAUGAAACCAGGCGGGCAAUGGCCAGAGCUAACUUUUCCCCUUAUAAAAGAAUUGAUGUCAAAUUUACAGAUGACCUUGGUGUUUCUGAAGGAGCAGUGGAUCUAGGAGGGCCUAAAAGAGAAUUUUUCUGACUUGUUCUUUUGUAUUUGAAAGAAGAAAGUGGUAUUUUUGAGGGGCCCGAUGAAGCAAAGAUUUUAAGUUGCAACA
Molecule: long non-coding RNA, 489 nt
Organism: Erpetoichthys calabaricus (reedfish)
Lineage: Eukaryota; Metazoa; Chordata; Cladistia; Polypteriformes; Polypteridae
Exons: 3
Source: RefSeq, a predicted model, not a curated record